CCCUUAGAUGUUCUGGGCCGCACGCGCGCUACACUGACGAAUGCAACGAGCUUAUAAUAACCUUGGCCGAAAGGUCUGGGUAAUCUCCAAAUUUCGUCGUGAUGGGGAUAGAUUAUUGCAAUUAUUAAUCUUCAACGAGGAAUGCCUAGUAAGCGCAAGUCAUCAGCUUGCGUUGAUUACGUCCCUGCCCUUUGUAUACACCGCCCGUCGCUCCUACCGAUUGAAUGGUCCGGUGAAGCGUUCGGACCGUGGCCUUUGGACGGUUCGCCGUCUGUUGGCUGCGGGAAGUUCGUUAAACCUUNUNAUUUAGNGGAAGGAGAANUCGUANCA
RNAcentral lists this ribosomal RNA (330 nucleotides) under uncultured eukaryote. Its description in RNAcentral is "partial 18S ribosomal RNA". It matches the Rfam family "Eukaryotic small subunit ribosomal RNA", at positions 1470 to 1796 of the family's 1831-position model. The record is from RNAcentral.